Molecule: long non-coding RNA, 667 nt
Filed under: Chrysolophus pictus (golden pheasant)
Lineage: Eukaryota; Metazoa; Chordata; Aves; Galliformes; Phasianidae
Description: lncRNA (ENSCPIG00010014426.1)
Source: RNAcentral
UGAUUCCACCGCCAACUCCAUCGAUGUUUCACGCUGAGAAUGGGCUUUUGUUAUUACUUCACUCUCUGAAAAGGAAUCAAACCUGCAUUAGAAACAUCAUGCUUCGGCCAGUGCAGACUGCAGUGCAGAGGCUCGAGAUGACCUUCAAGCUACAAAUGAGACUCAAGUACAAAACAAAGAAAUGACAAUGUGUAAGAGCAUACUUACAUUCAUCUUGCUGCUUACAGGAUAUCGUGUUAAAAAUAUGCAUGUUGCUGCAGUGGAGUCAGAAAGCAAAUCAACACUGUCUGAUUUAUCUGUCACAGCAACUUCUGGAGUACCAACAAAAAGCAGCUACUUUCCAGAUUCAGACUCAAAAAGUUACGACUCAACAGCAGAAAGUAAUGCAUCUCUAUUAGUGGCAGGACUCAGCAUUUUCUUUGUGCUGUUCUUUAUUUGUGUAAUUAUUGGUAUUUGGAACGCACGGAAAUUGUCAAAGCAAGGUUCAUUUGACAUUACUUCUGCCCCAUCUGGUGAAGCUUAGAUGACCUUAAGAACAUCAUGACGUGAGAACCAACGAGAAAAGAAGAAAUGAAAGUCUUAUUAGUUGGUAGCCAUUUAGAGGGCCCUUCCACAAGAGCGCAAUAUUAAAAAUAAAUAAAUUACUGAAACUGAAGAGAUCUUAGUU